This is a long non-coding RNA of Cucumis sativus (cucumber), 786 nucleotides long. RefSeq lists it as uncharacterized. The transcript has 2 exons. Lineage: Eukaryota; Viridiplantae; Streptophyta; Magnoliopsida; Cucurbitales; Cucurbitaceae. The record is from RefSeq and is a predicted model, not a curated record.
AACACGACUGUACUAUAAAUGCCAGCUCGGGAGAUAUGUCGCCUGGAAUACUGGGUCUCUCUUGCUGCAUUUUCAGACCACAUCAACAAAUGGAGUAAUCGGGCGUCUGACCCAUAAUGUUGCAUUAUGUGCGAUACUAAUCAAAAUAAACAAAAUAGAAAGAAAUGAAACUUUUGGCACCUUGAAAGCAGCCGCAUACGCAGCUUGCAGAUUGGACAUCCCUUCAAAUGGCAUUCGGUUGGUCAACAGCUCCCAUAAGACAAUUCCAAAGCUGUAUACGUCAACUUUGUUGUUGUAAUGCUUUUUCUCUCCCUGGCGCAAUGUAACAGUGCUAUACAACUGCAAAGACAGACAUGAUGGCCAAUAAAAUUUCAUCUCCCAGAAAGUAACUGAGCAAGAGAAGCUGCAUUCACAAGCCAAUGAACAAUAAAGUAAUCCUCAGAAAACAUUUCAACAAGCCAUUAAACAGCAAGAUUAUACAUCAUAUUGAAUAUUGGGUACAACAGAUUUGGAGAAGAGGGAGAGACGUGUUACUUUAAAGAUGCAAAAGAUUCCUACAACUUUGGAUCAUUUCUACAAACUUAAAGCCCCAAUUUGUGUUCUUUUUAUAUUAUGCAUUUUGCAAAAACGUCAUCUCUGUUGGAUAAUUUAGAAAAUCUCCAUUUUAAAAUGCUUACUAGUUACAGAUCUCUGAGAUAACAAUAGUUUGACCUUCAUAUAUACAGAAGUUUACAGUGCCAUUCCAUGAGUAUCAAUGAAGCACGACGUAGCACAUUUUACUUGUAA